This 3158-nucleotide long non-coding RNA is filed under the name Homo sapiens (human). Its description in RNAcentral is "non-protein coding MALAT1:42". Lineage: Eukaryota; Metazoa; Chordata; Mammalia; Primates; Hominidae. The record is from RNAcentral.
GUAAAGGACUGGGGCCCCGCAACUGGCCUCUCCUGCCCUCUUAAGCGCAGCGCCAUUUUAGCAACGCAGAAGCCCGGCGCCGGGAAGCCUCAGCUCGCCUGAAGGCAGGUCCCCUCUGACGCCUCCGGGAGCCCAGGUUUCCCAGAGUCCUUGGGACGCAGCGACGAGUUGUGCUGCUAUCUUAGCUGUCCUUAUAGGCUGGCCAUUCCAGGUGGUGGUAUUUAGAUAAAACCACUCAAACUCUGCAGUUUGGUCUUGGGGUUUGGAGGAAAGCUUUUAUUUUUCUUCCUGCUCCGGUUCAGAAGGUCUGAAGCUCAUACCUAACCAGGCAUAACACAGAAUCUGCAAAACAAAAACCCCUAAAAAAGCAGACCCAGAGCAGUGUAAACACUUCUGGGUGUGUCCCUGACUGGCUGCCCAAGGUCUCUGUGUCUUCGGAGACAAAGCCAUUCGCUUAGUUGGUCUACUUUAAAAGGCCACUUGAACUCGCUUUCCAUGGCGAUUUGCCUUGUGAGCACUUUCAGGAGAGCCUGGAAGCUGAAAAACGGUAGAAAAAUUUCCGUGCGGGCCGUGGGGGGCUGGCGGCAACUGGGGGGCCGCAGAUCAGAGUGGGCCACUGGCAGCCAACGGCCCCCGGGGCUCAGGCGGGGAGCAGCUCUGUGGUGUGGGAUUGAGGCGUUUUCCAAGAGUGGGUUUUCACGUUUCUAAGAUUUCCCAAGCAGACAGCCCGUGCUGCUCCGAUUUCUCGAACAAAAAAGCAAAACGUGUGGCUGUCUUGGGAGCAAGUCGCAGGACUGCAAGCAGUUGGGGGAGAAAGUCCGCCAUUUUGCCACUUCUCAACCGUCCCUGCAAGGCUGGGGCUCAGUUGCGUAAUGGAAAGUAAAGCCCUGAACUAUCACACUUUAAUCUUCCUUCAAAAGGUGGUAAACUAUACCUACUGUCCCUCAAGAGAACACAAGAAGUGCUUUAAGAGGUAUUUUAAAAGUUCCGGGGGUUUUGUGAGGUGUUUGAUGACCCGUUUAAAAUAUGAUUUCCAUGUUUCUUUUGUCUAAAGUUUGCAGCUCAAAUCUUUCCACACGCUAGUAAUUUAAGUAUUUCUGCAUGUGUAGUUUGCAUUCAAGUUCCAUAAGCUGUUAAGAAAAAUCUAGAAAAGUAAAACUAGAACCUAUUUUUAACCGAAGAACUACUUUUUGCCUCCCUCACAAAGGCGGCGGAAGGUGAUCGAAUUCCGGUGAUGCGAGUUGUUCUCCGUCUAUAAAUACGCCUCGCCCGAGCUGUGCGGUAGGCAUUGAGGCAGCCAGCGCAGGGGCUUCUGCUGAGGGGGCAGGCGGAGCUUGAGGAAACCGCAGAUAAGUUUUUUUCUCUUUGAAAGAUAGAGAUUAAUACAACUACUUAAAAAAUAUAGUCAAUAGGUUACUAAGAUAUUGCUUAGCGUUAAGUUUUUAACGUAAUUUUAAUAGCUUAAGAUUUUAAGAGAAAAUAUGAAGACUUAGAAGAGUAGCAUGAGGAAGGAAAAGAUAAAAGGUUUCUAAAACAUGACGGAGGUUGAGAUGAAGCUUCUUCAUGGAGUAAAAAAUGUAUUUAAAAGAAAAUUGAGAGAAAGGACUACAGAGCCCCGAAUUAAUACCAAUAGAAGGGCAAUGCUUUUAGAUUAAAAUGAAGGUGACUUAAACAGCUUAAAGUUUAGUUUAAAAGUUGUAGGAUGAAACAAUUUGGAGAAGAUAGAAGUUUGAAGUGGAAAACUGGAAGACAGAAGUACGGGAAGGCGAAGAAAAGAAUAGAGAAGAUAGGGAAAUUAGAAGAUAAAAACAUACUUUUAGAAGAAAAAAGAAAAAGCUAAGGGCAAAAUGUACAAACUUAGAAGAAAAUUGGAAGAUAGAAACAAGAUAGAAAAUGAAAAUAUUGUCAAGAGUUUCAGAUAGAAAAUGAAAAACAAGCUAAGACAAGUAUUGGAGAAGUAUAGAAGAUAGAAAAAUAUAAAGCCAAAAAUUGGAUAAAAUAGCACUGAAAAAAUGAGGAAAUUAUUGGUAACCAAUUUAUUUUAAAAGCCCAUCAAUUUAAUUUCUGGUGGUGCAGAAGUUAGAAGGUAAAGCUUGAGAAGAUGAGGGUGUUUACGUAGACCAGAACCAAUUUAGAAGAAUACUUGAAGCUAGAAGGGGAAGUUGGUUAAAAAUCACAUCAAAAAGCUACUAAAAGGACUGGUGUAAUUUAAAAAAAACUAAGGCAGAAGGCUUUUGGAAGAGUUAGAAGAAUUUGGAAGGCCUUAAAUAUAGUAGCUUAGUUUGAAAAAUGUGAAGGACUUUCGUAACGGAAGUAAUUCAAGAUCAAGAGUAAUUACCAACUUAAUGUUUUUGCAUUGGACUUUGAGUUAAGAUUAUUUUUUAAAUCCUGAGGACUAGCAUUAAUUGACAGCUGACCCAGGUGCUACACAGAAGUGGAUUCAGUGAAUCUAGGAAGACAGCAGCAGACAGGAUUCCAGGAACCAGUGUUUGAUGAAGCUAGGACUGAGGAGCAAGCGAGCAAGCAGCAGUUCGUGGCGAGCAGGCGUUGUGCGUAGAGGAUCCUAGACCAGCAUGCCAGUGUGCCAAGGCCACAGGGAAAGCGAGUGAUAACAUCUUCUGAGUCAUAACCAGCCUGGCAGUAUGAUGGCCUAGAUGCAGAGAAAACAGCUCCUUGACAGAAACUUUGUCUGCGAACACUCUUUAAUGGACCAGAUCAGGAUUUGAGCGGAAGAACGAAUGUAACUUUAAGGCAGGAAAGACAAAUUUUAUUCUUCAUAAAGUGAUGAGCAUAUAAUAAUUCCAGGCACAUGGCAAUAGAGGCCCUCUAAAUAAGGAAUAAAUAACCUCUUAGACAGGUGGGAGAUUAUGAUCAGAGUAAAAGGUAAUUACACAUUUUAUUUCCAGAAAGUCAGGGGUCUAUAAAUUGACAGUGAUUAGAGUAAUACUUUUUCACAUUUCCAAAGUUUGCAUGUUAACUUUAAAUGCUUACAAUCUUAGAGUGGUAGGCAAUGUUUUACACUAUUGACCUUAUAUAGGGAAGGGAGGGGGUGCCUGUGGGGUUUUAAAGAAUUUUCCUUUGCAGAGGCAUUUCAUCCUUCAUGAAGCCAUUCAGGAUUUUGAAUUGCAUAUGAGUGCUUGGCUCUUCCUUCUGUUCUA